Molecule: ribosomal RNA, 253 nt
Filed under: uncultured bacterium
Lineage: Bacteria
Description: partial 16S ribosomal RNA
Rfam family: Bacterial small subunit ribosomal RNA
Source: RNAcentral
UACGUAGGCAGCGAGCGUUGUUCGGAAUUACUGGGCGUAAAGAGUGUGUAGGCGGUGCUCUAAGUUCGGUGUGAAAUCUCCUGGCUCAACUGGGAGGGUGCGCCGGAAACUGGAGUGCUUGAGCGUGGGAGAGGAAAGCGGAAUUCCUGGUGUAGCGGUGAAAUGCGUAGAUAUCAGGAGGAACACCGAUGGCGAAGGCAGGUCUCUGGGCAUUAACUGACGCUGAGGAGCGAAAGCAUGGGGAGCGAACAGG